CGAUUGGAUCACCCUUAAUCCCAGCCACUCGCUUCACCUACAUUCUAAUUUCUAAGCAAAUAGCUAAACUUUGAUUUAAGAAAACAAACAGCAAUACACGAUCAAGCCUGCAGAAAAGCAGUCCAGGAAAUGGCUAUUCCUACAGAGGGUUUUGCAUGAUGCAGAUACUAGAAAAACAGCCAACCUCUCCCGGCCCGAGAUCCAAAUCGAGGCUCUAUUUCAUUCGUACCAUUGGAUGUCAAUCGAGGCUUUUAUCCACCGUUGAGGAGCAAAUGGCUAGCUUGCUGCAAUCUUGAAACCUGAGAAGACUAAAGAGCUUCGUUGCUAGUGAGUAGUGAUUCAAUGGCGCCAUUCAAAGAAUCCGAAUGAGGAAGCCAAUUAUACUUGCGAUUGUUACAAAGCAGGCACCUCCGCACAUAUCCUAUCAACAAAACAAGACUUGAUUAACCGAAUGAAGAAUGACUAGAUGAUUGACUGUAUAAUCUCCUUCUAUAAUCUAAGGGUGUGCUUGCUUUUCAUCUAUACUAAUAGAAAAAGAGCCUAAGGCAUCCUAAUUGUCUAUUUUACCCCUGUUACAUAUUUUAUUACAAGAUUAUUUUACAUAUUAUAUAUUUAUAAAAAUAUAUUACUCCCUCCGUCCCAUUCUAAUAGGCUCGUUUUCCUUUUUAGGAUGUCCCACUCUAAUGGGCUCGUUUUCCAUUUUAAGUAAAAAAAAGUGUACUUAAGUGGUGUGGACCACACCACUUUUCUACUAAAAAGUAAAUUUUCUUAAUCUGCGUGUCCAAAAGAAGUGAGCCUAUUGGAGUGGAACGGAGGGAGUAAUUCAUUAGAUAUUACACUUAAUCUAUGUGAUAUAUAUAUAUAUAGCUAUUGAUAAGGCUUAUAUUCAAUAAGACUUAUUAUAAAUAUAUUCAUUCAAUAAAUUAUCUAAUAAAAGUAAUGAUUAAUAGAUUUUCUAAAAUAAUAGAUUAUCAAAUAAAAUAACAUUAAUUAUACGUACAACAUACAUUCUUUCUGCUUGUCCCUCUAAAUAGAGGGAUAAAAUAAUGAGGUAUAAAUUCAUCAAUUAAAGUGAGAACCACUUUUUUAUGUCUGGUUUGUUUUGAAUAAUACUCCAUAUGUCACACUUACCUUGGUACACUUUCUUUUUUAGUUUGUCCCAUUUAUAAUGACACUUUCUAAAAAUAAUACGUGAUCCAUACAUUCUCUACACAUAAAAUAAGUAGACCCUACCCAAUUUAUACUCUUAACCCUUUAUUCUUAAUCUCUGUGCCCAAAGCAAAAGUGGAACAGAUGGAGUAAUAUAUUUAUCUCACUCUUUAUAAAGGGGUAUAAAAUUAUAACACUCUCCCUUAGGUAUAAUAUUCACCCAAGGGGUUAAUGCCUAAGGCCAAAUGUCUUAGGAUCGAGUCUCUAUGGCGCGGCCUUUAUGUUUUUUAAUUUAUACUGUUAAUUUAUAUAUAUAUAUAUAUAUAUAUAUACUANUUAUUUAUUAUUAUUAUUAUAUAUAUAUAUAUAUAUAUAUAUAUAUAUAUAUAUAUAUAUUCACUCAAGGGAAAGGUGUUGUCCAAAAUUUUAUACGGUCUGCCCAAUUUUUUUAUUACGUCAAAGCAAACGAGGUAUAAAGUUGUAAAUUGAGUUUAUCCCUUGUACCUCAAAGUAAACGCACCCUUAUGGCCAGUUUGAUAGCCUAGUUAAAGCUAUAUUAGCUCGUUAACUGACGUUAUAUUUGUGUUUGAUAGCUAAGCAACUGAACAUGAGAAGCCCGAGUUAGAUGACCGACCUGUGACGUUAUAUUUGUGUUUGAUAGCUAAGCAACUGAACAUGAGAAGCCCGAGUUAGAUGACCGACCCGGGCCUAAAACACUGUUUCAUCAUGGAUCUGUAACCAAGGGAGACCCUCGGUUAGGGAAGGUUGAGAGCACAGUAUGUCUGGUUUCAAGAAUGUCUCACAAAUUUGCCCCUCAAAAUCAAAUUAAAGCAUUAGUCACGGUUGAGCUCUUCAAGCUGAA
This 2011-nucleotide long non-coding RNA is filed under the name Salvia miltiorrhiza (redroot sage). RNAcentral describes it as "long non-coding RNA (SMIL_LNC008887)". The record is from RNAcentral. Lineage: Eukaryota; Viridiplantae; Streptophyta; Magnoliopsida; Lamiales; Lamiaceae.